GGGAAACGUGGGGCUCGGCGUGGGAGGAAGACGAAGGGUGGGAGUGUGGUUGGGAAUUACGGUUCGGUGGGGUACGGAGGGGGGGAAGUAGGUCAGGGGUGGAGUUGCAAGGCGGAACGCUUGAACUGCCUUUGAUACUGGGGGUCUUGAGUAUGGAAGAGGUGGGUGGAAUUGCGAGGGUAGAGGUGAAAUGCGUAGAUAUUCGGAGGAACACCAGUGGCGAAGGCGGCUCACUGGCUCGAUACUGACGCUGAGGUGCGAAAGCGUGGGGAGCAAACAGGAUUAGAUACCCGGGUAGUC
Molecule: ribosomal RNA, 300 nt
Filed under: uncultured Bacillus sp.
Lineage: Bacteria; Bacillati; Bacillota; Bacilli; Caryophanales; Bacillaceae
Description: bacterial SSU rRNA
Rfam family: Bacterial small subunit ribosomal RNA (bases 70-300)
Source: RNAcentral